Long non-coding RNA from Dermacentor silvarum, 2020 nucleotides. RefSeq lists it as uncharacterized. The record is from RefSeq and is a predicted model, not a curated record. NCBI's taxonomy places the organism in Eukaryota, Metazoa, Arthropoda, Arachnida, Ixodida, Ixodidae. The transcript has 4 exons.
UGCUAAGUUAAGCUCCAAAUUAGACGUCUUCUGUAUAGCUUAUAUGUCUAGUCUUGAAGACUUCUGCUGUAAGACCUGGUGGAGACGUACAGGCUCUGGUACACGUUUUUAAAGUCAAUCUCCAAGUCUUGCAAGCAAAACUUGCGCACAUUUUUACUACCAGCUUGCAACGAUUCCUUCGACAGCACCAUCAGUGGAAUGAUUACAUCGUUAUGGUAUCGUCAUAUAACAGCUCUCCGCACAAAACAGUGUAUUACCAGCGUACUGCAAGGUUUAUGCUCGAGUCGAUUUCGCAUAGGCCGCUAGUUAGACGGUUACAGCGCGCGUACCAAGUAUCAGCCAUUGAGGAAGGUACCUUCCUCCAUGGCCAAUUCAAACCUACCGCGUCAGCUCAAACUGAAAGCCGCGCCAUAGUUUCGUGUGCCCGUGAUGGCAAUACAACAAAACCUUUCAAUAAAAUGUGUGCCGUUAUUACACAAUUCGUAAAAGCUUUAAUAAAACAUUUUGAACGAAGUUUCACAGGCUAGUAUAACAUGGUGCGGCACAACAGUUGGUGCGCUACUAUGGCUUGGCCGCUUCCAACGCUAGCUCCCGCGCCUGCCAUGCUGCCGUUGCCGUGCAUUGUCUCCGUUCGCGCUUGCAGUGUCGCGCAUGGCCGCGCGCCCGCACUUUGCAAAGGAUUCAACGGGUCGCUUUCGUGCGUACAUCGCAUUCUCUGUGUGUUCCUGCGUUGAUGGCUCAGCUUCGUUUUGGUGCUUUCAGACAUUCACGUACUAAUCACAGACAUGGGAAGACUAUAAGACGUCAAGAUGAAAGGCUCCUAGCAGCUCUCAGUGUUCCCAACGAAACUGGCAGAAUGGCAGUGGCUGAUUACAAGCUGCCUUUGGUGAACAAAAAAACCGUGACCACAUUAGAAUCCGAGCAGAGCUCCAAUCCUGCAUUCUGAUGACACCUUACACAACGGCUCUCUGUUAUGGGGGGCUGGUACUUAAGAAGCUUUACUGCGGGCAUCCUACCCACUAUUUUCAGACUGUUUUGGUGGAAACUUAAGCUAGACUCUAGGCCAGCGGCGGAAAAAGAGCUUCAGGGACGUGCAUGUCUACAGUGUCAUGGAAGAAGCUAUUCAUAGCAAUACCACGUGGGAAAAUGUGAUGACCGAUGCCAUUCGCCAAGCAGCAACUGCCUGGUUGAAGAAUUGCAGCUUGCGAGCGGAUAAAAAGCCAGCACGUUACGUUAAGCUUAGUGUUCAGGUAAUUUUAUAUAGAAAUUUAAGAUAUACUUACGUUUUUAACUGAGUCAGCAUCAUGUAGCAUGUUUACAUCUCAUUAAAAUCGACUGUUGGUUCUAGAUCAGAAGUGCAUGGUAUGGGAUUAACAUUUUGUCUUGGCGUUCUAAACUCUACUUAUAUCAGUCUGUUCUCAAUCGCCAGAUAACUUCCAACGACCAUCUAUGCAUGAUGUUGUGACAUCAUGCUUUACUGUGGCCAUAGGGAAACUUGUAUACAUUCUGAAGAAUUUCACUUUAGACAAUAAAUUCUGGGAACCCCAAGUAGAGUUGGCGUUCAGGGCCACUUGCUUACAUGAUGCAGUGUAAAAGAAAGAUAUAAAUAUUUACUUCCAGGCAGCAAAAGGACAUGGGAGAUGAUUUAGGUGAACGUGAAAAGGCAUUUGAAAUUAUAGAAUGAAUUAUACCUGUCUUCUGGCACUAUGCUUAUGCAUGCAGAUUUUAAGCAGUUUUUUAUGUGUUGUAUUUGUUUCUUUUAUACCAUUGUUCAGUCUUGUGGGGACAGCCACUGAAAGGCCAGGCUUAAAACAAGUAUAACUAUGCAUCAUGAGUGCAUCAGUUCUAUAAUGUUUGAAAGUGGUGUGCGCAUUACAUGCCCUUAACAGUAGUCACCGAGAGAAAACAAAGUGUAUUCGCUAAUUUUUCUAAUAUGUAGAGAUUAUUUCUUAGUCAUGUUUAUGCUAAGCAUUUGGCUUUUACUGGCCUUACUAUAAGUGAGUCUGGUCUUUUUUCUCUU